RNAcentral lists this ribosomal RNA (595 nucleotides) under Titanoderma prototypum. Its description in RNAcentral is "eukaryotic LSU rRNA". It matches the Rfam family "Eukaryotic large subunit ribosomal RNA", at positions 1284 to 1899 of the family's 3401-position model. Lineage: Eukaryota; Rhodophyta; Florideophyceae; Corallinales; Lithophyllaceae. The record is from RNAcentral.
AACAACUCACCUGCCGAAUGAACUAGCCCUGAAAAUGGAUGUCGCUUAAGCGGAGUGCCGACACUCGACCGUUUUGAUAAAAAUUGACCAAAAUGAGUAGGAGGGCGUGGUGAUUUUGUUCAGAAGGGUGGAACGCAAGUUCGCCUGGAACGGUCACUAGUGCAGAUCUUGGUGGUAGUAGCAAAUAUUUAAGCGAGAUCCUUAAAGGACGAAGCGGGGAAGGGUUCCAUGCGAACAUUGAUUGGGCAUGGGUGAGUCGUUCCUAAGCCGGGUGGUAAUCGUUCUUCGAUCGGCGAAAGGGAAGUUGGUUAAAAUUCCAACACACGGAUGUGAAGGCGGCAACGCAAAUUGAGGUGGAGACACUAGCGGUGACUCUGGGCAGAGUUUUCUUUUCUGUUUAACCUGUGCUGCACUCUGUGGAAUCCGAUUAUCGGGAGAAACAGGUGCCUAACGGGAAGAGCGUCGGGGGGUCCCCGGCGUCCAGAACGUCACCGAGAGUCCUUGAAAAUCCAUCUGCAAUCUAAUUUCACGCCGUGGCGUACCGAUAACCGCAGCAGGUCCCCAAGGUGAACAGCCUCUGUCUAAUAUGAACAAU